CGAACGGGUGAGUAACACGUGGGUGAUCUGCCCUGCACUUCGGGAUAAGCCUGGGAAACUGGGUCUAAUACCGGAUAUGACCGAGGACUGCAUGGUUUUCGGUGGAAAGUUUUUCGGUGCAGGAUGAGCCCGCGGCCUAUCAGCUUGUUGGUGGGGUAAUGGCCUACCAAGGCGACGACGGGUAGCCGGCCUGAGAGGGCGACCGGCCACACUGGGACUGAGACACGGCCCAGACUCCUACGGGAGGCAGCAGUGGGGAAUAUUGCACAAUGGGCGAAAGCCUGAUGCAGCGACGCCGCGUGAGGGAUGACGGCCUUCGGGUUGUAAACCUCUUUCACCCAUGACGAAGCGCAAGUGACGGUAGUGGGAGAAGAAGCACCGGCCAACUACGUGCCAGCAGCCGCGGUAAUACGUAGGGUGCGAGCGUUGUCCGGAAUUACUGGGCGUAAAGAGCUCGUAGGCGGUUUGUCGCGUCGUCUGUGAAAUCCCGCAGCUCAACUGCGGGCUUGCAGGCGAUACGGGCAAACUUGAGUACUGCAGGGGAGACUGGAAUUCCUGGUGUAGCGGUGAAAUGCGCAGAUAUCAGGAGGAACACCGGUGGCGAAGGCGGGUCUCUGGGCAGUAACUGACGCUGAGGAGCGAAAGCGUGGGUAGCGAACAGGAUUAGAUACCCUGGUAGUCCACGCCGUAAACGGUGGGCGCUAGGUGUGGGUUUCCUUCCACG
Molecule: ribosomal RNA, 724 nt
Filed under: Rhodococcus sp. YIM 64842
Lineage: Bacteria; Bacillati; Actinomycetota; Actinomycetes; Mycobacteriales; Nocardiaceae
Description: bacterial SSU rRNA
Rfam family: Bacterial small subunit ribosomal RNA
Source: RNAcentral